This 1943-nucleotide ribosomal RNA is filed under the name Capsicum annuum var. glabriusculum (American bird pepper). Its description in RNAcentral is "SSU rRNA". It matches the Rfam family "Eukaryotic small subunit ribosomal RNA". Lineage: Eukaryota; Viridiplantae; Streptophyta; Magnoliopsida; Solanales; Solanaceae. The record is from RNAcentral.
CCUUGUUGAUGUUGCCAGUAGUAAUAUGCUUUUCUUAAAGAUUAAGCCAUGCAUGUGUAAGUAUGAACAAAGGCAGACUAUGAAACUGCGAAUGGCUCAUUAAAUCAGUUAUAGUUUUUUUUAUGGUAUCUACUACUCGUAUAAACAUAGUAAUUCUAGAGUUAAUAUAUGUAAAAAAAACCAACUUCUGGAACGGUUGAAUUUAUUACAUAAAAUUUAGACAUGGUCUCUGCUCAUUGCUGCGAUGAAUCAUGAUAACUUAAUGGAUCGCACGACCAUUGUGCCAGCGACACAUCAUUCAAAUUUCUACCCUAUCAACUUUUGAUGAAGGAUAGUGGCCUACCAUGGUGAAGACGGGUGAUGGAGAAUUAAGGUUUGAUUUUAGAGAGGGAGCCUAAGAAAUGGCUACCACAUCCAAGGAAGGGAGAAGGCACGCAAAUUACCCAAUCUUGAUAUGGGGAGGUAGUGACAAUAAAUAACAAUACCGGGCUCAAUGAGCCUAGUAAUUGGAAUGAGUACAAUAUAAAUCCAUUAAUGAGGAUCCAUUGGAGGGAAAGUCUUAUGCCAUCUGGAAUGGUAAUUCCAUCUCCAAUAGCGUAUAUUUUAGUUAUGGCAGUUAAAAAGAUCGUAUUUGUACUUUGGGAUGGGCCAGUUGGUCCGCCUAUGGAGUGCACCGAUCGUCUCAUCCCUUCUUUUAGUGAUGCGCUCCUGGUGUUAAUUUGAUGGGUCAUGCCUCAAGCACUCUUACUUUGAAGAAAUUAGAGUGCCCAAAGCAAUACUACGCUAUGUAUACAUUAGCAUCAGAUAACAUUAUAGGAUUUUGGUGUUAUUAUGUUGGCCUUCAGGAUCGGAGUAACGAUUAAUAGGGACAGUCAGGGGCAUUCGUAUUUCAUAGUCAGAUGUGAAAUUCUUUGAUUUAUGAAAGAUGAACAACUUCAAAUGCAUUAGCCAAGGAUGUUUUCAUUAAUCAAGAAUGGAAGUUGGGGGCUCAAAGACAAUUAGAUACAGUCCUAGUCUCAACCAUAAAUGAUGCCGACUAGGGAUCGGCAUAUGUUGCUUUUAAUCUCAACCAUAAAUGAUGCCGACUAGGGAUCGACAUAUGUUGCUUUUAGGACUUUGCCAACACUUUAUGAGAAAUCAAAGUGAGGACUUUUCCAACACUUUAUGAGAAAUCAAAGUUUUUGGGUUUUGGGGGUAGUAUGGUGGCAAGGCUAAAACAUAAAGGAUUUGAUGGAAGGGAACUUUUUGGGUUUUGGGGGGAGUAUGGUGGCAAGGCUAAAACAUAAAGGAUUUGAUGGAAGGGAACCACCACGAGUGAAGUCUGUGGCUUAAUUUGACUCAAUACGGGGAAACUUACAGGUCCAGGCAUAGUAAGGAUUGACAGACUAAGAGCUGUUUCUUAAUUCUAUAGGUGGUGGUGCAUGGUCUUUCUUAGUUGGUGUAUCAAAUUGUCUAGUUAAUUUCAUUAACGAACGAGACCUCAGCAUGCUAACUAGCUACGCAGAGGUAUCCCAUCGCUGCCAGCUUCUUCGAAGGACUAAGACCUUUUAGGCCCCAGAAGUUUAAGGCAAUAACAGGUUUGUGAUGCCCUUAGAUGUUCUGGGCCGCACGCGUGCUACACUGAUGUAUUCAAUGAGUUUAUAGCCUUGGUUGAUAGGCCAAGAUAAUUUUUAAAUUUUAUCAUAAUGGGGAUAGAUCAUUGCAGUUAUUGUUCUUCAACGAAGAAUUCCUAGUAAGUGUGAGUCAUUAUCUCAUGUUGAGUAUAAUCCCUGCCCUUUGUACAUAUCGCCCGUCGCUCCUACCGAUUGAAUGAUUGGGAAAAUAUUUGUAUUAUGGUGAUGUGGGCAUUUUGCUGCAAGCGACGUUGUGAGAAGUCCAUUGAACAUUAUCAUUUAAAGGAAGGAGAAUUCGUAACAAGGAUUUUGUAGGUAAACCUGUGGAAA